Molecule: ribosomal RNA, 247 nt
Filed under: uncultured bacterium
Lineage: Bacteria
Description: partial 16S ribosomal RNA
Rfam family: Bacterial small subunit ribosomal RNA
Source: RNAcentral
CACGCUGUAAACGAUGGAUACUAGACGUGGUGGGUCUUGACCCCUGCCGUGUCGAAGUUAACACGAUAAGUAUCCCGCCUGGGAAGUACGGUCGCAAGACUAAAACUCAAAGGAAUUGACGGGGGCCCGCACAAGCGGUGGAUCAUGUGGUUUAAUUCGAAGCAACGCGCAGAACCUUACCUGGGUUUGACAUCCCCUGAAUGCAGUAGAGAUAUUGCAGGCUCGCAAGAGACAGGGAGACAGGUGC